Molecule: non-coding RNA, 2614 nt
Organism: Hydra vulgaris (swiftwater hydra)
Lineage: Eukaryota; Metazoa; Cnidaria; Hydrozoa; Anthoathecata; Hydridae
Source: RefSeq, a predicted model, not a curated record
UAAGUUAGAUAAGGUAGAGCAUUGUAUAAUCUUAGAAACAUUUACUAUACAAAAGCAAACAUUUAGGAAGAGUCAGAAAUUGUGAUCCUGGAUAUUAUCCCAUAGAUGUUCAGCAAGCUUUGGAAAGAACUAUAGAGUUUUAUGAAGGCUGCUAUUGGCUAGAGAGUUUAAUGACUAUACUGCAUUUAGUAACCAUGGUAAUGCUCAUGUUUUUCUUUGAGAAUUUGAAAUAGCUGUACAAUAUUACUAGUAAGAAAAUUUCAAGCAUAAUUUUUUUUCAGAGAUUCCAGCUCUCAGGAUUGUUUAUUUAUUCUAGCCUCCAGCAACUAAAUCUGAAGUGUUUUUCAGGAUCUGCUGCAUAUGUUAUUGAAACACUAUUUGACAUUGAAGUAUGUAAGAAUCAGCUAAUCGAGUGGAUGAUUUCAGCUAAUGCAGAUGUUAUCAGCAUAUUUCUUGUAAAUGUGAAUGGACUAUUAAGAUGAAACAAUGAGGAAACCUUACUUAAUGUUUCAACAGUUAUAAACUUAUUGGCUGCUUCAUUUGAAGGUCGACUGUGGUUGUUGAAGCAGUAUGAAUUUGAUGACACUAUUCAACUUUUAUGUGAUAUGCUUCAGUCAUCUUGUAUGUCUUUAACACAUAAUGCAUCUCUUGUCAUAGCAAGAUAUGCGCUCUAACUAGUGAAGGAAACGGAUUAGCAGCUUAUUUGAUAGGAACAACAAAUACUCUUGAUUAUUUUGCACCCUCACCUCCUCGAUUACAUGUUCAUGGUAAAACAGAGAUUUUUAUUGAGUGGGAUCCUCCUAAAAAUCUUCUUGGCAGAUAAAAUUAUUAUGAACUUAGAAUGGAUAACAUGGUAUUUCGUUAAUAUGAAUCAUCUGGCAAGUACUGCUCAUGUUGUAGUUAAAUUCCUUGAAAAAACAUGGAAAAAAAAACAUGGAAAAGAAUGUAUUGAUGUCAUUCCUAUUUUAUGGGUGUAUUAUGAAAAAGUCAAAUUAUUCUGUAAAUACCCAUCUGAAAACGAAUAUCAUGCGCUAGAAAAAAUGAGUAAAAUGUAAUUAAUACCAGGAGUUUUGUGGAAGAGUUUUGAAAUUGUUUUAAUUAAAGAAGCAAAAAGCUAUGAACAAGGAUUGCGACGUAUGAUUAGGGCAUGCUCUGAAUUUGUAGUUCAGAGCAGUAAUUUUGAAGAUUUAAACAGUUCAGAAGAAGAAUCUGCUCCUGUUAAAUUAAGCAACUCUGAGCUUAAAGCAUCUUUAAAAGAUAUCUCUUCGUUUAAAGAGCAUGAGUCCUUUGUUUCCUUUAAAGUAAAGAAAAGGCGAUUGUCAUGUUGUGAUGAAGAAUAUAAUGAUUCUUUGUCCUCAUCUCCUAAAAUAAAGACCUAUAAAUGUAACCCAGAGAGAAAAAACCAAAUGAUAAAGACUUCCGGUAUAUCACAUGAAGACUCCAAGAAAAAUUUAAACGAAGACAAAAUAAAUAAAAAAGAUCAUAGUAAAAGAGUCUUUUGUUUCCUUUGAAGUAAAGAAAAAGCGAUCGUCAUGUCGUGAUGAAGAAUCUAAUGAUUCUUUGUCCUCAUCUGCGAAAAUAAAGAAGAUAUUGACCUCUAAAUGUAAACCAGGGAAACGAAACGAAAUGAUAAAGAAUUCUAGUGUGUCACAUGAAAACUCCAGGAAAAGUUUAAAUGAAAAUAAAAUAAAGAAAAAAGAUGUGAUACUUAAUCCAAAUUAUAAGUAUUGCCCUACAUGUGGCUGUGCAGGUAAGGAUAUUGUUAGAAAUGUUUUUAUCUACAAUUCUUAAUUUGUUGUAAAUAAUUAAUUUAAUUUUCACUUAAUUAAGAAAAUGACAUUAUGGAAACUUUAUGUUUAAACCACACCAGUGUGGAAAUGGACUUUAUUAUAUUAUUUAUUCAUUUAUAACAUUGAAAAAAAACUACAUGAUGAUAAUGUAAUAAAUACUGAUUUAUUCAUUUAAAAUGAAUGGUAGUUUUUCUUUACUAAUGAGAACAUUUAUAUUUUCAUGAAAACUAAAAAUGCUCCUGCAUCGAAAGCUAAUCUGGAAUCUGCCAGGAGAAGUAUCGAAUAUCGUAUUAGAGAGGAAGCGAAAAUCACAAGAGCGUAGUGUUCACAAUAACACAGUUGAUAUUCAAAAAAUUAUAUCCGAACAGACAAUUAACGAAUUACCAUUCAACGAUGUAGAAAGCUUCCUUGAUUUUGAUAAUAAAUUAAAGACUGAUACAGUAAUGAUGCAAAAACUGAAAUGCUUUAUCAUGUUAAAUGUGAAAAGUACAUCAAAACUUUCGGAAAAUUUUUCUUUUAUAAUUCCUAAGAUUAUUUUACCAAGUAUUCAAGUACCCUACAGUGCUUUUGGGCGAGAAUCAAAAGGUGUAAAAAAGUUAAAUUUUUCUGGCACAGAAACUUAUAGAUAUUUGCUAGAAGUAGUUACAAUGAAAUUUUCUGACAUAAAUGAAAAAGAAAUUUCAAGUCAAAUAAGUCGCUGGUUUUCAGGUGCAAAGGAUAGAGAUGGUGGAAAGAGAUACCGAUUAUUAAAUAAAAAAAGUCGUGAAGAGCGAAAAUAAAGACUCUAUAAACUCUACAAUAUUAUGUAUUUGUAAUUAUACAAA